GGCAGACAGGGUAGACAGUCUGAAGGUGGCCUUAUUAAAAAAGGUUCUUUGAGGUUUGUGGCUGUGCAUGAGGUGGUGGGAAGGAGAGCAAGGGACAGGAACCCUAUGGAACAGGAUGCACACGUGGCUCCAGGCUUUUUGGGAGAUGCGGUUUCAGCUAUGAGCCGAGCCAUUAGACACUCCAGCACUGCCCUGUCAGAGCAUGGAAACAGAGCCAGGCCCUGCUCCGAGGAAGCGUACACUCCCUUUUCUUCCCAUGGAGCCCCGGCCAGGCCUGCCCUUACAUGCUUUCCAGAGGACUGCGAGCCCUAGAGGUGGCUUCGCGGUCCCACCAGGCAGGAGCUGUGCCAUGGCCUCUGCCCCACGGCGCCAGGGAGAGCCGGCAAGUCAUGGCCUCGAGAGCCCAGAGCUGGCCGGUCCCCAGCCCCAGAGCAGGUCCUGAUCCCCAGCCCCAGAGCCGGUCCUGAUCCCCAGGCCCAGAGCAGGUCCUGAUCCCCAGCCCCAGAGCCGGUCCUGAUCCCCAGUCCCAGAGCAGGUCCUGAUCCCCAGCCCCAGAGCCGGCCGGUCCCCAGCCCCAGAGCCGGUUCCAGCCCCAGAGCCGGCCGAUCCCCAGCCCCAGAGCCGAUCCCCAGGCCCAGAGCCGGCGAUCCCCAGCCCCAGAGCCGGUCCCAGGCCCAGAGCCGGUCCCGGUCCCCAGCCCCAGAGCCGGCCGAUCCCCAGCCCCAGAGCCGAUCCCCAGGCCCAGAGCCGGCCGAUCCCCAGGCCCAGAGCCGAUCCCCAGGCCCAGAGCCGGCCGAUCCCCAGGCCCAGAGCCGAACCCCAGGCCCAGAGCCGGUCUCAGCCCGAGAGCCGGUCCCGGUCCUGGUCCCCAGCUCCAAGAGCCGAGCUGCGCUUUGGUACAGCAGCAGGAACUUCUCUCGUGACAUUUUCACAGCUCGGGAAGGAACAGGAGGGAUUGAUGACUCUGAGCCCAGGAAAGACAAAGAGAAAGACUGGACAAGCACAUGGGUAAAUGUUCCUAACCCACAUGGGCUCUCAUCUCACUGGGAUCUCUUGAUACCAUCAGUGUGUGAGUCACAGUGCUGAA
Molecule: long non-coding RNA, 1087 nt
Filed under: Parus major (Great Tit)
Lineage: Eukaryota; Metazoa; Chordata; Aves; Passeriformes; Paridae
Description: lncRNA (ENSPMJG00000016995.1)
Source: RNAcentral